Molecule: long non-coding RNA, 1630 nt
Organism: Carassius gibelio (silver crucian carp)
Lineage: Eukaryota; Metazoa; Chordata; Actinopteri; Cypriniformes; Cyprinidae
Exons: 2
Source: RefSeq, a predicted model, not a curated record
AUAAAUGAAACCAACUUUUCAUUAGUACGACCAUUUAAAAUUCUAUUUUAAACACCACAGGGGCACAUUUGUAUAUAUAAAAGCACCACUGGAAGCCACAAUAAUUCCCAGCUUACACGUUGUAACACGUUUGUUUUAUUUUGGCUGUUAUCCUGAGAUCAAGCUGUGAUUAGUACAGUUGAGAAUAAACUUAAAGCGUAGCUUACUCAGCAGGUGAAUCAGGCGAGUCUGUGUUGUAUUUAAUGUGACUAUAGCAUCAUCUACUGGUAAAAAAAUAAGUCGCCGCCCUCUAUUUUGGACCUUCUGCUUGCCGUAGUUGUGAGAAUCCAAAAUGGCAGCCUCCUUGAGGGCGUGUUGUUCCUCCGGCGAAGCAGUCAAUAUUAAGCAUAGUAUUUGUUUUAUGAGCCUGUCGUGCUUUGUUGCAAAAUAGACGUUUUGCUGUUGAAAUCAGGAAUGCAUCUAAACGUUAUUCCAGUAAAAGCACGACAUCAGCUGGCGUGCAAAUGAAUGUCUGGUGUUAAUACGAAGUAACAACGGAGUAGUGAACUGUUUUAAGUGGUCCUUUCUGUUUCUAAUGGGUAAUAUCUGUUUUCACAUCACUUACAGUGUCGAGGCAGUCCAAACGCUCAUUUUCAUCGUCGUGUGUGACCCUUGCAGGAAAAGACUGGAGUGGGUUUCCUCGGCAGUUCAUUAUUAACAAAUUGUAUUUUAAAAUUGUUUUUGAGUUGACUACAUAAUAAUAAUACGAAGGGGAAAAAAGGAUUAAAUCAGAGUGUUGCAUGCAUUAGAUUCUAAUAACAAUGGUUAAUCUUGAUGCCAGUGGUUUGGGUGUUGUCUACAGAAAUGGUUAAGCACGUGGUGGAUCAGAAUAUGGACCAUUAACAGAUCUACCUAACUGGUCAUAUAUGGUUCAUGGGUGACAUUUAAUUUCUAAGAAAAACUUUUGUUUCAAAUGUUAAUAUUUGUGUCCACAUUUAGAGAAGAGCAGUGUAUCUCAGUACAGAGGUGGAUGAAGGGAUGAAGAUAUGGCAAGAGAAGGAAGAGGAGAAACAGAAAGAAGAGCAGUGUCUUUCUUGUUCAUCUCUAAACCUUAUCAAGCAGAGAGCGUUGACAGUAGAGGAGGCGGUGAGGAGUGCCAUAGAACCGGAAGAACAGCAGAGCCCCCAAAGUGACAAGCACUAAGGCCAAAAGAAAGAGAGGGACGACAAUGGCUACAAUUUUUUCCAUGUCUCCGCCCUCUGACUCAAUGAUGAUCACUUCCUCAUCUGUGCCGGUCCUUCUCUUGGGCUCCUCUUCUUCACAGCCCAUCCAGUCAGUCAGGACUGAUUUGGGGUAGCCUGGCUCCACCUUUAGCUGCUGAUUGUUUAACUUCCAGUACUUAUUGUUUUUGUAGAAGUAAACGUGGGCUGAAAAAAGUGUGGAAAGAAUUCAUUCAGAAUAAGUGUUUCUACAUUUCUAAAGCAAACAGAUAAUUUGGGCUCUGAUUGGUAAAUACAGUACUCCAGCCGUAUAUUUACAGCUCAAAAGUUUGGGCAAGGAUUUAGCAAGGAUGCAUUUAAAAUGCUCAAACACAAGACAUUUACAAUGUCACAAAAAAUUUAAUAUUUCAAAUAAAUGCUGUUCUUGUCAA